Molecule: ribosomal RNA, 468 nt
Filed under: uncultured bacterium
Lineage: Bacteria
Description: partial 16S ribosomal RNA
Rfam family: Bacterial small subunit ribosomal RNA
Source: RNAcentral
GACGAACGCUGGCGGCGUGCUUAACACAUGCAAGUCGAACGGAAAGGCCCUGCUUUUGUGGGGUGCUCGAGUGGCGAACGGGUGAGUAACACGUGAGUAACCUGCCCUUGACUUUGGGAUAACUUCAGGAAACUGGGGCUAAUACCGUAUAGGAGCUCCUGCUGCAUUGUGGGGGGUGGAAAUUUUAGGCGGUUGGGGAUGGACUCGCGGCUUAUCGGCUUGUUGGUUGGGUAGUGGCUUACCAAGGCUUUGACGGGUAGCCGGCCUGAGAGGGUGGCCGGCCACAUUGGGCCUGAGAUACGGCCCAGACGCCUACGGGAGGCAGCAGUGGGGAAUAUUGCACAAUGGGCGGAAGCCUGAUGAAGCAACGCCGCGUGCGGGAUGACGGCCUUCGGGUUGUAAACCGCUUUCGCCUGUGACGAAGCGUGAGUGACGGUAAUGGGUAAAGAAGCACCGGCUAACUACGUG